GGGUUGUGAGGUUAAGCGACUAAGCGUACACGGUGGAUGCCCUGGCAGUCAGAGGCGAUGAAGGACGUGCUAAUCUGCGAUAAGCGCCGGUAAGGUGAUAUGAACCGUUAUAACCGGCGAUUUCCGAAUGGGGAAACCCAGUGUGAUUCGUCACACUAUCAUUAACUGAAUCCAUAGGUUAAUGAGGCGAACCGGGGGAACUGAAACAUCUAAGUACCCCGAGGAAAAGAAAUCAACCGAGAUUCCCCCAGUAGCGGCGAGCGAACGGGGAGGAGCCCAGAGCCUGAAUCAGCAUGUGUGUUAGUGGAAGCGUCUGGAAAGGCGCGCGAUACAGGGUGACAGCCCCGUACACAAAAGCGCAUGUGCUGUGAGCUCGAUGAGUAGGGCGGGACACGUGGUAUCCUGUCUGAAUAUGGGGGGACCAUCCUCCAAGGCUAAAUACUCCUGACUGACCGAUAGUGAACCAGUACCGUGAGGGAAAGGCGAAAAGAACCCCGGCGAGGGGAGUGAAAAAGAACCUGAAACCGUGUACGUACAAGCAGUGGGAGCACAGGUUUACCUGUGUGACUGCGUACCUUUUGUAUAAUGGGUCAGCGACUUAUAUUCUGUAGCAAGGUUAACCGUAUAGGGGAGCCGGAGGGAAACCGAGUCUUAACCGGGCGUUAAGUUGCAGGGUAUAGACCCGAAACCCGGUGAUCUAGCCAUGGGCAGGUUGAAGGUUGGGUAACACUAACUGGAGGACCGAACCGACUAAUGUUGAAAAAUUAGCGGAUGACCUGUGGCUGGGGGUGAAAGGCCAAUCAAACCGGGAGAUAGCUGGUUCUCCCCGAAAGCUAUUUAGGUAGCGCCUCGUGAAUUCAUC
RNAcentral lists this ribosomal RNA (862 nucleotides) under Salmonella enterica subsp. enterica serovar Bareilly. RNAcentral's name for it is "partial 23S ribosomal RNA". It matches the Rfam family "Bacterial large subunit ribosomal RNA", at positions 1 to 894 of the family's 2925-position model. Lineage: Bacteria; Pseudomonadati; Pseudomonadota; Gammaproteobacteria; Enterobacterales; Enterobacteriaceae. The record is from RNAcentral.